This 366-nucleotide ribosomal RNA is filed under the name Chorebus eros. RNAcentral describes it as "partial large subunit ribosomal RNA". Lineage: Eukaryota; Metazoa; Arthropoda; Insecta; Hymenoptera; Braconidae. The record is from RNAcentral.
GGCUGCAGAAUUUAUAACUGUACAAAGGUAGCAUAAUAAUUUGUUUUUUAAUUAAAAACUAGAAUGAAUGAUUAAAUGAAAUAUAAACUGUUUCAAUUAAAUAAAAAUUUAAAUUUUUAUUUAAGUUAAAAAACUUAAAUAUAUUUAAAAGACGACAAGACCCUAUAGAAUUUUAUUUAUUAUUUAAUAAUAAUAAUUAAUUAAUUUAAUUAAAAUUAAAUAAUCAAUUUAAUUGGGGUAAUUUAAAAAUUAAAAAAAUUUUUUCUAUAAAAAACAUAAAUUAAUGAAUAUAAAAUCUUAAAUUUUAAAUUAUUAAAAUUAAUUACCUUAGGGAUAACAGCAUAAUUUUUUUUAAAAGACCUUAUU